Molecule: long non-coding RNA, 1165 nt
Organism: Rhagoletis zephyria (snowberry fruit fly)
Lineage: Eukaryota; Metazoa; Arthropoda; Insecta; Diptera; Tephritidae
Source: RefSeq, a predicted model, not a curated record
UAGACGGCGGCUACUGCAUACAAAUUCGCCAAAUUAAAUAUACGAACGAGCAACAAGCAAUAAGUGCCGAAACAACAACAACAACAACAACCGCGGAAAGGUAAAUAACAAACAACAACUGCAGCAGCAGAGUCCACAUUCAGCCUACUACUACGGGCACUACACUGCACCUCAACGCUUACGCACGCACAGCUUGCUGCUGCCGCUCGCGGGGGGACUUUGGAAUGUUGCUGCAACGAGUCGCACAUUUUCACGCCGUAUAUUGCUGCCUCUGCUGCCAGUGACAAGCCGACGUGCAACUGACUUGGCUGGAGCCACUUUGGCCAACAAACUGCAAACUGCAAUCGUUCUGAGGCGAACCAGAGAGUGUGUGUGUGUGUGGGUGUGUACAUUGCUGCAGCCAGCCGUGCAGUGGCGCAGAGGAGCAAGCAGUGAGCCCCGGAAGGCAGCGCACAAGCGAGUAGUUGUAGUGUCAGUUUAUCAGCGUGAAUAAAUUUCGAAAGAAAUUUUUAUCAAUGUGCUACAAGCAACUAAAGCAACAACAACAACAACAAUAAAGAAGAAAGAUAAAAUAAAAUAAGCGAGGGAGAAGUGAAGCGCAGAAGUGAGAGUGGGUUAAGCCAAAGUGGGGCGGCAAACAAAUUGAACCGAUUCAAGUGGGCAAAUUUGUUGGAGCGCUCAUUUGUUUUCUUUUUUUUUUAUUUAGUGCAUUUCUUUUAAGUGAGUGUGUGCUACUUUCUUGAAAUUCAGCAGCCAUAAAUAAACCAAAAGUUAUGCAGCAGCAGCAAACAAACGCACCUACUCAUACCGCCGACUGGUUUGUUUAUAAGCAUAUGUGUGUGUAUGUGUCUGAAAAUGCAAACAGACAAAUGUCUACAACUGUGUACACGAAUAAAAGAGAAGUGGAAUUGAGCUGAGUGCGGCAAGGCAAAGAAAAGAGGCAGCAAGCAAUUGGGAAAUUGUAAUAAAAAAUAUCAUAAAAUCGGAAAAGCAGCAUGAACUAGAAUAAACAAAAAAUAAGAAGUAGAAACUGAAAGUAGUAAACUGAUGAAAAAAAUAAAUUUAGAAAUAUAGAAAAGAAAUAGUUAUAAAUUGCAUUAAGGAAAUCACGUGAAGCAUUCAGUUGCGACUGAAAUUGAAAGUAAACUAAAAUAUAAAAAUAGAA